AACGAACGCUGGCGGCAUGCCUAACACAUGCAAGUCGAACGAGACCUUCGGGUCUAGUGGCGCACGGGUGCGUAACGCGUGGGAACCUGCCCUUAGGUUCGGAAUAACUCCCCGAAAGGGGUGCUAAUACCGGAUAAUGUCUUCGGACCAAAGAUUUAUCGCCUUUGGAUGGGCCCGCGUUGGAUUAGCUAGUUGGUAGGGUAAAAGCCUACCAAGGCGACGAUCCAUAGCUGGUUUGAGAGGAUGAUCAGCCACACUGGGACUGAGACACGGCCCAGACUCCUACGGGAGGCAGCAGUGGGGAAUAUUGGACAAUGGGCGAAAGCCUGAUCCAGCAAUGCCGCGUGAGUGAUGAAGGCCUUAGGGUUGUAAAGCUCUUUUACCCGGGAUGAUAAUGACAGUACCGGGAGAAUAAGCACCGGCUAACUCCGUG
Molecule: ribosomal RNA, 433 nt
Filed under: uncultured bacterium
Lineage: Bacteria
Description: partial 16S ribosomal RNA
Rfam family: Bacterial small subunit ribosomal RNA
Source: RNAcentral